RNAcentral lists this ribosomal RNA (497 nucleotides) under uncultured bacterium. Its description in RNAcentral is "partial 16S ribosomal RNA". It matches the Rfam family "Bacterial small subunit ribosomal RNA", at positions 28 to 507 of the family's 1533-position model. The record is from RNAcentral.
GAUGAACGCUGGCGGCGUGCCUAAUACAUGCAAGUCGAGCGAACAGACCAGGAGCUUGCUCCUCUGACGUUUGCGGCGGACGGGUGAGUAACACGUGGAUACCCUACCUAUAAGACUGGGAUAAUUUCGGGAAACCGGAGCUAAUACCGGAUAAUAUACUGAACCGCAUGGUUCAAUAGUGAAAGACGGCUUUGCUGUCACUUAUAGAUGGAUCCGCGCCGCAUUAGCUAGUUGGUAAGGUAACGGCUUACCAAGGCAACGAUGCGUAGCCGACCUGAGAGGGUGAUCGGCCGCACUGGAGCUGGGCCGCGGUCCAGACUCCUACGGGAGGCCGCAGUAGCGAAGCUUCCGCAAUGGGCGCAAGCCGGACGCAGCAACGCCGCGUCAGUGAUGCAGGGCCCCGGAGCGUAAACAUGUGUUAUGAGGGAAGAACCAAUGUGUACGUGACUGAGGCUGGUUUGACGGUACCGACUCAGAAAGCGCCGGCUAACUACGUG